GGGCAUUGCCGGGUCUACCAUGCAGUCGACGGUGAAGCCCUUCGGGGUGGAUCAGUGGCGAACGGGUGAGUAACACGUGGGCAAUCUGCCCUGCACUCUGGGACAACCCGGGGAAACCCGGGCUAAUACCGGAUACGACCCUCCAGGGCAUCUUGGGGGGUGGAAAGCUCCGGCGGUGCAGGAUGAGCCCGCGGCCUAUCAGCUUGUUGGUGGGGUGAUGGCCCACCAAGGCGACGACGGGUAGCCGGCCUGAGAGGGCGACCGGCCACACUGGGACUGAGACACGGCCCAGACUCCUACGGGAGGCAGCAGUGGGGAAUAUUGCACAAUGGGCGAAAGCCUGAUGCAGCGACGCCGCGUGAGGGAUGACGGCCUUCGGGUUGUAAACCUCUUUCAGCAGGGAAGAAGCGCAAGUGACGGUACCUGCAGAAGAAGCACCGGCUAACUACGUGCCAGCAGCCGCGGUAAUACGUAGGGUGCGAGCGUUGUCCGGAAUUAUUGGGCGUAAAGAGCUCGUAGGCGGCUUGUCGCGUCGGUCGUGAAAGCCCGGGGCUUAACCCCGGGUCUGCGGUCGAUACGGGCAGGCUAGAGUUCGGUAGGGGAGAUCGGAAUUCCUGGUGUAGCGGUGAAAUGCGCAGAUAUCAGGAGGAACACCGGUGGCGAAGGCGGAUCUCUGGGCCGAUACUGACGCUGAGGAGCGAAAGCGUGGGGAGCGAACAGGAUUAGAUACCCUGGUAGUCCACGCCGUAAACGUUGGGAACUAGGUGUGGGCGACAUUCCACGUCGUCCGUGCCGCAGCUAACGCAUUAAGUUCCCCGCCUGGGGAGUACGGCCGCAAGGCCUAAAACUCAAGGAAUUGACGGGGGCCCGCACAAGAGGCGGAGCAUGUGGCUUAAUUCGACGCAACGCGAAGAACCUUACCAAGGCUUUGACAUACACCGGAAACUGGCAGAGAUGUCAGCCCCCUUGUGGUCGGUGUACAGGUGGUGCAUGGCCUGUCGUCAGCUCGUGUCGUGAGAUGUUGGGUU
This 1028-nucleotide ribosomal RNA is filed under the name Streptomyces thermolineatus. RNAcentral describes it as "bacterial SSU rRNA". It matches the Rfam family "Bacterial small subunit ribosomal RNA", at positions 37 to 1081 of the family's 1533-position model. Lineage: Bacteria; Bacillati; Actinomycetota; Actinomycetes; Kitasatosporales; Streptomycetaceae. The record is from RNAcentral.